Molecule: long non-coding RNA, 627 nt
Filed under: Ananas comosus (pineapple)
Lineage: Eukaryota; Viridiplantae; Streptophyta; Magnoliopsida; Poales; Bromeliaceae
Description: long non-coding RNA (ACOM_LNC041342)
Source: RNAcentral
CUUGUGCGGAAGUAGUGAUAGAAAAUAAUAAGAUAAUUGGUUGGCUCAAAUCUAACUUGAAAAUCAAAUGUGAUGGUAUUUCGAUAUCACUGGAGUUAGAAUGGUGAGAUUGAUUGUUAAUGCUUAUAGAUUUCUUAUUUGUGCUUUAUAUUGCUAUGGUUUUACUUGUGUGGAAGUAGUGAUAGAAAACAAUAAGAUAAUUGGUUGGCUCAAAUCUAACUUGAAAAUCAAAUGUGAUAUUAUUUCGAUAUCUCUGGAGUUGGGAUGGUGAGAUUGAUUGUUAAUUCUUAUAGAUUUCUUAUUUUUGCUUUAUAUUGCUAUGGUUUUAUUUGUGCGGAAGUAGUGAUAGAAAAGAAUAAGAUAAUUGGUUGGCUCAAAUCUAACCUAAAAAUCAAAUGUGACGUUAUUUCGAUAUCCCUGAAGUUGGAAUGGUGACAAUCCUUAUAGAUUUCUUAUUUUUGCUUUAUAUUGCUAUGGUUUUACUUGUGCUGUUGCUAUUGCUGAUGUUCGCUGUUCUUAAUUGGGGAUGCUUGUUUUUCAAUCUGUUUGCGAAACUUUUUUACCUGGUCUGUUGUGUGCACGGAUGUAGUUCUUGGUUUUUGGGAUAUUACUGUUUGAAUAUUGAAG